AUGCAAGUCGAGCGGUAACACAGGGAGCUUGCUCCUGGGUGACGAGCGGCGGACGGGUGAGUAAUGUCUGGGAAACUGCCUGAUGGAGGGGGAUAACUACUGGAAACGGUAGCUAAUACCGCAUAACGUCGCAAGACCAAAGAGGGGGACCUUCGGGCCUCUUGCCAUCAGAUGUGCCCAGAUGGGAUUAGCUAGUAGGUGGGGUAACGGCUCACCUAGGCGACGAUCCCUAGCUGGUCUGAGAGGAUGACCAGCCACACUGGAACUGAGACACGGUCCAGACUCCUACGGGAGGCAGCAGUGGGGAAUAUUGCACAAUGGGCGCAAGCCUGAUGCAGCCAUGCCGCGUGUAUGAAGAAGGCCUUCGGGUUGUAAAGUACUUUCAGCGGGGAGGAAGGUGUUGAGGUUUAUAACCUCAGCAAUUGACG
RNAcentral lists this ribosomal RNA (428 nucleotides) under uncultured Enterobacter sp. Its description in RNAcentral is "bacterial SSU rRNA". It matches the Rfam family "Bacterial small subunit ribosomal RNA", at positions 55 to 474 of the family's 1533-position model. Lineage: Bacteria; Pseudomonadati; Pseudomonadota; Gammaproteobacteria; Enterobacterales; Enterobacteriaceae. The record is from RNAcentral.